This 343-nucleotide long non-coding RNA is filed under the name Ananas comosus (pineapple). Its description in RNAcentral is "long non-coding RNA (ACOM_LNC017870)". The record is from RNAcentral. Lineage: Eukaryota; Viridiplantae; Streptophyta; Magnoliopsida; Poales; Bromeliaceae.
UGGGAGCUUGAGGAGUCAUUGCGGAGUGAGUAUCCGCAUCUAUUUGAGUCGACAAGUUAAGGUAUGCGUAAUUUCGCGGAUGAAAUUAUUUUAAGGGGUGGAGAAUGUAAUAUACUGAGAAUUCAAAAAUUAAAUAUCGAACUAUAGUCAGAUUGACCAAAGUGCGAGGAUGGUACACUUCGGAAAGUCCGAAGGUGUUAAAGUGAGUAAAAGUGCAAUGUGGGAGGUUUUCGAGAGUUAAAGAAUCAAAAAUCUGCAAACAACAGUUUUUGAGCACUCGGGGACCGGUCCCUGGAGGGAGAGACCGGUCCCCGAACACGUGAAAACUGAGCAACUGAAAAAU